GAUGAACGCUGGCGGCGUGCUUAACACAUGCAAGUCGAACGAAGCACCUCUCCCGAAGAUUGACACAGCUUGCUGUAGAUUGAUUCAUUUGAGGUGACUGAGUGGCGGACGGGUGAGUAACGCGUGGGUAACCUGCCUCAUAGAGGGGGACAACAGUUGGAAACGACUGCUAAUACCGCAUAGUAAGAAGAAUUCGCAUGUUUUCUUCUUGAAAGAUUUAUCGCUAUGAGAUGGACCCGCGUCUGAUUAGCUAGUUGGUAAGGUAACGGCUUACCAAGGCGACGAUCAGUAGCCGGCUUGAGAGAGUGAACGGCCACAUUGGGACUGAGACACGGCCCAAACUCCUACGGGGGGCAGCAGUGGGGAAUAUUGCACAAUGGGGGAAACCCUGAUGCAGCGACGCCGCGUGAGUGAAGAAGUAUUUCGGUAUGUAAAGCUCUAUCAGCAGGGAAGAUAAUGACGGUACCUGACUAAGAAGCCCCGGCUAACUACGUG
RNAcentral lists this ribosomal RNA (495 nucleotides) under uncultured bacterium. RNAcentral's name for it is "partial 16S ribosomal RNA". It matches the Rfam family "Bacterial small subunit ribosomal RNA", at positions 28 to 507 of the family's 1533-position model. The record is from RNAcentral.